RNAcentral lists this non-coding RNA (30 nucleotides) under Homo sapiens (human). The record is from RNAcentral. Lineage: Eukaryota; Metazoa; Chordata; Mammalia; Primates; Hominidae.
UCAGUGGCAUCACUAACCAUUGGAGGUCAA